RNAcentral lists this ribosomal RNA (252 nucleotides) under uncultured bacterium. Its description in RNAcentral is "partial 16S ribosomal RNA". It matches the Rfam family "Bacterial small subunit ribosomal RNA", at positions 525 to 776 of the family's 1533-position model. The record is from RNAcentral.
ACGUAGGGUGCAAGCGUUAAUCGGAAUUACUGGGCGUAAAGCGUGCGCAGGCGGCCUUAAAAGUCAGAUGUGAAAUCCCCGAGCUCAACUUGGGAACUGCGUUUGAAACUCUAAGGCUAGAAUAUGUCAGAGGGGGGUAGAAUUCCACGUGUAGCAGUGAAAUGCGUAGAGAUGUGGAGGAAUACCAAUGGCGAAGGCAGCCCCCUGGGAUAAUAUUGACGCUCAUGCACGAAAGCGUGGGGAGCGAACAGG